UCUUGGAUGGGGCAGAGGUUACUGUCUCC
This 29-nucleotide non-coding RNA is filed under the name Homo sapiens (human). The record is from RNAcentral. Lineage: Eukaryota; Metazoa; Chordata; Mammalia; Primates; Hominidae.